UGCGAGGCUCAAAAAGGUCAAAACGGUGCUAUGCGUUAAGAGGAUCCCAAACACACCGAAAUGUGCGAAUUGAAAAAUAGUUAUCGAAAAGUUCUGAAAUGCUCUAAAAAGUAUCAAAAUGCAUGAGUUUACUAAAAUGAGAAAAAUAUUAUCAAAGCAUUUCACUAUGUCACUAAAUACGCAAUUAUACCUAAACUUACAAAAUGACUGAACUGCACCAAACUCCACAAACAUCAAACGAAUUGUACUAACCCUCUGAAAUAUAUAAAAUUGACCCCAAAAUGCCCCGAAAUGUUAAAAAAUGCUAAAUAUUGACGCUAAAGGAUGGCCCAAAGUGUUCCGAAGCAUGUGAAUCGAAUUUUAUCUCUCUGAAAUAUUUUCAAAUGUGUGAAUACUGGAUCGUAUCUGAACAUUACGAAAUACAAGAUUUGUGUCAAAACAAUCUAAAGACUGUAGCUCUCCUAGAUAUUACCGAAAUGUGCGAAAUGGAUAAAUAUGUAUCGAGACCUGCAUAUAUGCUCUAAAGAUUAUCAAAGUGCACGAGUUAUAUCGAAAUGUUCAAAAAUUUAACAAAGCGACUCAAAUAUCCCAGAAUAUGCCACAUCUACCUAAACUUGCAAAAUGAGUGAUAUAUGCCAAAACCCACAAAUAUGAAACAAAGUUGCACCAAAACAAAACUCGCAAAAAUGUAUCAAGAUAGGCUAAUCAUAGCUAAAACCUCCGAAAUGUAUAAAGUUGAGUUAGGAUGCCCCAAAUCGAAUCGUAGCGCUCCGAGAUAUUUCCAGAUGUGUAUUUCCAAACAUGAAACCGAAUUCCAAAAAAACAUGAUGAGACUCACCAAAAUGUAUCAAGAUAGGUAAAACACAGCUAAAUCCAUUGAAAUAUAUAAAAUUGAGCAUAAAUGCCAUCAAAAUGAUCCAAAAUAUGCUAUGUUGACAUUGAAGAAUGGCCCAAAGUGUCCCAAAAUACGACAAACGAAUCUUAGUG
RNAcentral lists this long non-coding RNA (987 nucleotides) under Olea europaea subsp. europaea. The record is from RNAcentral. Lineage: Eukaryota; Viridiplantae; Streptophyta; Magnoliopsida; Lamiales; Oleaceae.